RNAcentral lists this ribosomal RNA (484 nucleotides) under uncultured bacterium. Its description in RNAcentral is "partial 16S ribosomal RNA". It matches the Rfam family "Bacterial small subunit ribosomal RNA", at positions 28 to 523 of the family's 1533-position model. The record is from RNAcentral.
GACGAACGCUGGCGGCGUGCUUAACACAUGCAAGUCGAACGAUGAACCCGGAGCUUGCUCCGGUGGAUUAGUGGCGAACGGGUGAGUAACACGUGAGUAACCUGCCCUUGACUCUGGGAUAACUGCGGGAAACUGUAGCUAAUACCGGAUACGACCCUCGGCGGCAUCGCCAGGGGGUGGAAAGAAUUUCGGUCAAGGAUGGACUCGCGGCCUAUCAGCUAGUUGGUGAGGUAACGGCUCACCAAGGCGACGCCGGGUAGCCGGCCUGAGAGGGGGACCAGCCCCACUGGGACCUAGACACGGACCAGACUCCUACGGGAGGCAGCAGUGGGGAAUAUUGCACAAUGGGCCCAAGCCUGAUGCGGCAACGCCGCGUGAGGGAUGACGGCCUUCGGGUUGUAAACCUCUUUUAGUAGGGAAGAAGCGAAAGUGACGGUACCUGCAGAAGAAGCACCGGCUAACUACGUGCCAGCCGCCGCAGUAA